Molecule: non-coding RNA, 691 nt
Organism: Triticum urartu
Lineage: Eukaryota; Viridiplantae; Streptophyta; Magnoliopsida; Poales; Poaceae
Source: RefSeq, a predicted model, not a curated record
CAGAAUCUUUCCCGCCUCUUGAGAGACCACAUGGCGUUCUGGUGGCAGUUUUUGGCCAAGGCUGGAAGCCAAGAACACUUCUUAAUUUUGAUCAUGGACUUGACAUUGUGGUCGGCGGUGCAUGGUGCAGUGCAGAGAUUUCUUGCCUGGCGUAUAACAAUGCGUGUUCAAUGGGGUAGCCUCUUCUCACGCACAAGUCUCAAGAGAGGCAGACAUCGACAACUAUUCAGAAUAACCACAACAAAAUUCUGACACAGGUGGUUAGUGGGAGAAGGAACCUGAGACCGCAACCGAUUCUGCUGCAAGGGUGGUGUGUAGAAGAUAGUUGUAGCAAGCAUAUAAGUCACUCUGGAAAAAGGCUUCGUGACUGAGCUGGCGAAGAAGAUGUCAGUGGUGGAAGCGGACAUGUUAUAGAAGAUGUUGAGGGUGGCACCGGAGGUAAUGGCCAAAUGGGGUUCCUCGGCACCGAAGAGAAGGAUGCUGCAGCGACACCGACACGUACUGGGUUCCGUUUCCAACCAGAGAGAACUUAUGAACGGUAUGUGUGCGAUCCAUUCAUUCUUUCGUUUGAUCCUUCCUUAUUCCUCUCAACUCAGAUUAAUUUUAUUUUGUAAUUAUGCAUGAUUUUGAUGGAUCAAUAAAUUUAGUGGCAUUAAUUGCAAUGAGAAAUAUCGUAUAUCCAUAAACUUCA